RNAcentral lists this ribosomal RNA (497 nucleotides) under uncultured bacterium. RNAcentral's name for it is "partial 16S ribosomal RNA". It matches the Rfam family "Bacterial small subunit ribosomal RNA", at positions 28 to 507 of the family's 1533-position model. The record is from RNAcentral.
GAUGAACGCUGGCGGCGUGCCUAAUACAUGCAAGUCGAGCGAACAGACGAGGAGCUUGCGCCUUCGACGGUAGCGGCGGACGGGUGAGGAACACGUAGGUAACAUACCUAUAAGACUGGGAUAACUUCGGGAAACCGGAGCUAAGACCGGAUAAUAUUUCGAACCGCAAGGUUCGAGAGUGAAAGAUGGCUUUGCUAUCACUUAUAGAUGGACACGCGCCGUAUUAGCUAGUUGGUAAGGUAACGGCUUACCAAGGCAACGAUAGGUAGCCGACCUGAGAGGGUGGUCGGCCACACUGGAACUGAGCCACGGUCCCGACUCCUACGGGAGGCAGCAGUAGGGAAUCUUCCGCAAUGGGCGAAAGCCUGACGGAGCAACGCCGCGUGAGUGAUGAAGGUCUUCUGAUCGUAAAGCUCUGUUAUUAGGGAAGAACAAACGUGUAAGUAACUGUGCACGUCUUGACGGUACCUAAUCAGAAAGCCACGGCUAACUACGUG